Molecule: ribosomal RNA, 253 nt
Filed under: uncultured bacterium
Lineage: Bacteria
Description: partial 16S ribosomal RNA
Rfam family: Bacterial small subunit ribosomal RNA
Source: RNAcentral
UACAGAGGUCCCAGGCGUUGUUCGGAUUCACUGGGCGUAAAGGGUGCGUAGGUGGUCGGGUAAGUCUGAUGUGAAAUCUCCGAGCUUAACUCGGAAACUGCAUCGGAUACUAUUCGGCUCGAGGGUUGGAGGGGGGACUGGAAUGCUUGGUGUAGCAGUGAAAUGCGUAGAUAUCGAGAGGAACACCUGCGGCGAAGGCGGGUUGCUGGGCUGACACUGACGCUGAUGCGCGAAAGCCAGGGGAGCGAACGGG